Molecule: long non-coding RNA, 1637 nt
Organism: Gallus gallus (chicken)
Lineage: Eukaryota; Metazoa; Chordata; Aves; Galliformes; Phasianidae
Exons: 3
Source: RefSeq, a predicted model, not a curated record
UUUUGAGGUCUAAUGUCCCUCUCUUACUCUUCUUAUGGUGUAAUGUCGAAUAGCAACCUGCACUAUGCUCAUGUCCCACAGACCUACUAGUCCACGCUCCAACCAAACUCCAAGAGGCAUUGCAGACAGCGGUGAUGGCAGUGAGCAGCAUCAGCUCCUUUUUGUGAGCAGCUCCCACGCCGGCUUCAUGCAGGAGUUAGCUGAGGACAUUCCCUUGAAUGGACGGCAUCUGGGCUGUGCCUGUACCCUCACGGGGAAGGAAUUCGGGGUGGAGCCUGGAGAAACAAUCCCAGCUUCGUAGUGGUGAUUAAAACGGCCGUUAGAUUACAGCACCGGAUCAGGAUGGAUUUAGGCCAACUCAGCAAGGAACUGUGGAGAGGCUCAGAGGCUGCAGAUGCCGAUAUAGCACAACCAUCCGCUUCCUCCCCCAUCCCCACUAUAGUCUAAUGUUGAUUUCUAAAUGUUAGUGACAGCUUAAUUCUUUGAGUGUACAAUUGGCAGUUUUCUUCUGUCAUUAAUCAUAACGACUCUGGGCUGCUGGCAAGAGCUGAUAGAGUGAGGCUGGAGUUUCCCAAGAAGCAUCACAGGGGUCCCAAAUGCUUUGAAUUAGUAAAGACAGUAAAAAUGUUUUUCUAGAGGACAGCCCUGCUUGCAAGGUGCUGAAGGGGUCGGUCAGGACUUUCCCUUAGUGAUGACCACAGUGCUCUCUGCAAACACUUUCUGUCCUUGAGAAGCAACAGCCAGCAGGUAACCAGAGUUACACAGGAACCAUCCCCUGCCCCAUCCCCUUGCCCCAUUGGGCUUUCCCAUUAUCUGCAAGGGGAACGCAUGCUGCUCUUUGCAGCCCAGAGCUCAGUUGCUGUGGGGAUUAUCGACUAAGAGGUGGACUGGAAAAAGCCCUAAUCUCUUUCCUGCCAAACUUUGUGCUUAUCUACAAACCAAAAAGGCCAUGUUGGGUUGUGUAUUUUUUUUUUUUUUUUUUUUCCUUUUUCAAGACUUCAGUGAUUUAUGAGUUCCCAGAGUUACUGCUUUUUUUCUUUCUUCAUUUGCCACCUCUGCUGGCAUGGAGAAUGAGCCAGCUUCUCCUAAAAGAACAUCUCUCAUGAGGUCUGAGUAGCUUCAAGGAAUCUUUGGGUGUAUAAAAAUGACACAGAGGUGCUUUAGGUACUUCCUAGAGCAGUACAGCUCCAUGGGGCCUUCUCCUUCCAGCACACCCUUUACUGGGGUGCCAGUAUUGGGGAGAGAAAGAAAUUGGCUAUAAGAGAAGACAGAAGAGCAUCCUGCCUCCUUUUGCAGUGGGAGUCCAGAGACAAAGGAAACUUUGUCUUGCUUGAAAUAUAAGCAUGAAAAUGUAUGACUGUCUGCAGAAUCAUAGAAUGGCUUGAGUUGGAAGGGACCUCCAAGGUCAUUUAUUUCCAUUCCCCCUCUCAUGGGCUGGUUUCCCCCCACCAGAUCAGGCUGUCCAGGGCCCCAUCCAACCCGGCCUUCAACACCUACAAGAGUGGGGCAUCCACAUGGCCUGUCCUUCAGAACGUGCAGGGAUAAGAGAGCAGAAUUGAGAAUAUCCCACAUCCCAUGCCUUCCUGGUGAGACUGUCUCCUUGCAUGUAUUUCACUACCUUCCAUAGUACAGGUAUC